Molecule: unclassified non-coding RNA, 153 nt
Filed under: uncultured Chaetomium
Lineage: Eukaryota; Fungi; Ascomycota; Sordariomycetes; Sordariales; Chaetomiaceae
Also listed under: 1 other name
Description: sequence contains ITS2
Source: RNAcentral
CAACCAUCAAGCCCCAGGCUUGUGUUGGGGACCUGCGGCUGCCGCAGGCCCUGAAAACCAGUGGCGGGCUCGCUAGUCACACCGAGCGUAGUAGCAUACACAUCGCUCAGGGCGUGCUGCGGGUUCCGGCCGUUAAACCCCUUUUUUACCCAA